RNAcentral lists this ribosomal RNA (465 nucleotides) under uncultured bacterium. RNAcentral's name for it is "partial 16S ribosomal RNA". It matches the Rfam family "Bacterial small subunit ribosomal RNA", at positions 28 to 507 of the family's 1533-position model. The record is from RNAcentral.
GACGAACGCUGGCGGCGUGCUUAACACAUGCAAGUCGAACGGAAAGGCCCCUUUGGGGGUACUCGAGUGGCGAACGGGUGAGUAACACGUGAGUAACCUGCCCUUGACUUCGGGAUAACUUCAGGAAACUGGGGCUAAUACCGGAUAGGAAUCCUUGCUGCAUGGUGGGGGUUGGAAAGCUUCGGCGGUUUUGGAUGGACUCGCGGCGUAUCAGCUUGUUGGUGGGGUAGUGGCUUACCAAGGCUUUGACGGGUAGCCGGCCUGAGAGGGCGACCGGCCACAUUGGGACUGAGAUACGGCCCAGACUCCUACGGGAGGCAGCAGUGGGGAAUAUUGCACAAUGGGCGGAAGCCUGAUGCAGCAACGCCGCGGGCGGGAUGACGGCCUUCGGGUUGUAAACCGCUUUCAGCAGGGGCGAAGCUUGUGGUGACGGUACCUGCAGAAGAAGCACCGGCUAACUACGUG